CAUGUCUAAGUACAUGCCGAAAUAAGGUGAAACCGCGAAUGGCUCAUUAAAUCAGUUAUGGUUUCUUAGAUCGUACUUUUUUACUUGGAUAACUGUGGUAAUUCUAGAGCUAAUACAUGCAGCAGAGCCCCGACCUUAGGGAAGGGGCGCUUUUAUUAGACCAAGACCAAUCGGGCUUCGGCCCGCUUACCAUGGCGACUCUGGAUAACUUUGGGCAAAUCGCACGAUCUCGUAUCGGCGAUGUUUCUUUCAAGUGUCUGCCUUAUCAACUUUCGAUGGUAGGCUACGCGCCUACCAUGGUCGUAACGGGUAACGGGGAAUCAGGGUUCGAUUCCGGAGAGGGAGCCUGAGAAACGGCUACCACAUCCAAGGAAGGCAGCAGGCGCGCAAAUUACCCACUCCCGGCACGGGGAGGUAGUGACGAAAAAUAACAAUACGGGACUCUUUUGAGGCCCCGUAAUUGGAAUGAGUACACUCUAAAU
This 482-nucleotide ribosomal RNA is filed under the name Phalangium opilio (common harvesterman). RNAcentral describes it as "SSU rRNA". It matches the Rfam family "Eukaryotic small subunit ribosomal RNA", at positions 54 to 530 of the family's 1831-position model. The record is from RNAcentral. Lineage: Eukaryota; Metazoa; Arthropoda; Arachnida; Opiliones; Phalangiidae.